RNAcentral lists this ribosomal RNA (440 nucleotides) under uncultured bacterium. RNAcentral describes it as "partial 16S ribosomal RNA". It matches the Rfam family "Bacterial small subunit ribosomal RNA", at positions 338 to 795 of the family's 1533-position model. The record is from RNAcentral.
CCUACGGGCGGCAGCAGUGGGGAAUAUUGCACAAUGGGGGGAACCCUGAUGCAGCAACGCCGCGUGGGUGAAGAAGUACUUCGGUAUGUAAAGCCCUGUCAGCAGGGAAGAAAAUGACGGUACCUGACCAAGAAGCCACGGAGAACUACGUGACAGCAGCCGCGGGAAUACGUAGGGGGCAAGCGUUAUCCGGAUUUACUGGGUGUAAAGGGAGUGUAGACGGCAAGGCAAGUCUGGAGUGAAAGCCCGUGGCUCAACCACGGGACUGCUUUGGAUACUGUGUAGCUGGAGUGCAGGAGGGGGAAGCGGAAUUCCUGGUGUAGCGGUGAAAUGCGUAGAUAUUAGGAGGAACACCGGUGGCGAAGGCGGCUUACUGGACUGUAACUGACGUUGAGGCUCGAAGGCGUGGGGAGCAAACAGGAUUAGAUACCCCUGUAGUC